Molecule: small nucleolar RNA, 89 nt
Organism: Cyclopterus lumpus (lumpfish)
Lineage: Eukaryota; Metazoa; Chordata; Actinopteri; Perciformes; Cyclopteridae
Source: Ensembl
AGUUGUCAGUGAUGAGAAAACGGAUCUUGCGUCAGGCAUGGCGCCCGACACUGAUGAGGAUACCUUUCUGCCUUCCUUCUGAGACUACA